RNAcentral lists this ribosomal RNA (1528 nucleotides) under Clostridium manihotivorum. RNAcentral's name for it is "16S ribosomal RNA". It matches the Rfam family "Bacterial small subunit ribosomal RNA". Lineage: Bacteria; Bacillati; Bacillota; Clostridia; Eubacteriales; Clostridiaceae. The record is from RNAcentral.
UUUAAAUUGAGAGUUUGAUCCUGGCUCAGGACGAACGCUGGCGGCGUGCCUAACACAUGCAAGUCGAGCGGAGAAAGUUCUUCGGAACUUUCUUAGCGGCGGACGGGUGAGUAACACGUGGGUAACCUGCCUUAUAGAGGGGGAUAGCCUUCCGAAAGGAAGAUUAAUACCGCAUAACAUUUUCGUUUCGCAUGAAAUGAAAAUCAAAGGAGCAAUCCGCUAUAAGAUGGACCCGCGGCGCAUUAGCUAGUUGGUGAGGUAAUGGCUCACCAAGGCGACGAUGCGUAGCCGACCUGAGAGGGUGAUCGGCCACAUUGGAACUGAGAUACGGUCCAGACUCCUACGGGAGGCGCGACAGUGGGGAAUAUUGCACAAUGGGGGAAACCCUGAUGCAGCAACGCCGCGUGAGUGAUGAAGGCCUUCGGGUUGUAAAGCUCUGUCUUUGGGGACGAUAAUGACGGUACCCAAGGAGGAAGCCACGGCUAACUACGUGCCAGCAGCCGCGGUAAUACGUAGGUGGCAAGCGUUGUCCGGAUUUACUGGGCGUAAAGGAGCGUAGGUGGAUGUUUAAGUGGGAUGUGAAAUACCUGGGCUUAACUUGGGUGCUUUGCAUUCCAAACUGGAUAUCUAGAGUGCAGGAGAGGAAAGUGGAAUUCCUAGUGUAGCGGUGAAAUGCGUAGAGAUUAGGAAGAACACCAGUGGCGAAGGCGACUUUCUGGACUGUAACUGACACUGAGGCUCGAAAGCGUGGGGAGCAAACAGGAUUAGAUACCCUGGUAGUCCACGCCGUAAACGAUGGAUACUAGGUGUGGGGGUUUCAACACCUCCGUGCCGCCGUUAACACAAUAAGUAUCCCGCCUGGGGAGUACGGUCGCAAGAUUAAAACUCAAAGGAAUUGACGGGGGCCCGCACAAGCGUGGAGCAUGUGGUUUAAUUCGAAGCAACGCGAAGAACCUUACCUAGACUUGACAUCUCCUGAAUUACCCUUAACCGGGGAAGUCGGUACCUUUGGUAUCGACAGGAAGACAGAGUGGUGCAUGGUUGUCGUCAGCUCGUGUCGUGAGAUGUUGGGUUAAGUCCCGCAACGAGCGCAACCCUUAUUGUUAGUUGCUACCAUUUAGUUGAGCACUCUAGCGAGACUGCCCGGGUUAACCGGGAGGAAGGUGGGGAUGACGUCAAAUCAUCAUGCCCCUUAUGUCUAGGGCUACACACGUGCUACAAUGGCAAGUACAAAGAGACGCAAGACCGUGAGGUGGAGCAAAUCUCAAAAACUUGUCCCAGUUCGGAUUGUAGGCUGAAACUCGCCUACAUGAAGCCGGAGUUGCUAGUAAUCGCGAAUCAGCAUGUCGCGGUGAAUACGUUCCCGGGCCUUGUACACACCGCCCGUCACACCAUGAGAGUUGGCAAUACCCGAAGUCUGUGAGCUAACCCGUAAGGGAGGCAGCAGCCGAAGGUAGGGUCAGCGAUUGGGGUGAAGUCGUAACAAGGUAGCCGUAGGAGAACCUGCGGCUGGAUCACCUCCUUUCUA